Molecule: non-coding RNA, 158 nt
Filed under: Alphaproteobacteria bacterium
Lineage: Bacteria; Pseudomonadati; Pseudomonadota; Alphaproteobacteria
Description: 6S RNA
Rfam family: 6S / SsrS RNA
About the family: E. coli 6S RNA was the first non coding RNA to be sequenced, but its function was unknown until recently. It consists of 184 nucleotides that fold into an extended hairpin structure with a large single-stranded internal bulge.
Source: RNAcentral
AUGGGGCUGGGCGACGCGUUAGGCCGCAUGUUACCCCGGGGCCGAUAGAUACCUCUUGGGGGCCGUCACUGUCGGGGUCGUGGCCUCGAUAUAUGGCCGCCCACCUGCUACGGCGGGCCACGGAGGAGUUGCACGCCGACGGCCGAUCCGGCUCCAUU